Molecule: long non-coding RNA, 454 nt
Filed under: Coturnix japonica (Japanese quail)
Lineage: Eukaryota; Metazoa; Chordata; Aves; Galliformes; Phasianidae
Description: lncRNA (ENSCJPG00005008088.1)
Source: RNAcentral
GGGCACAGGAGUGGCUUUCUCUCCUUAAUGACAGAGAAGCUGAGAGUGUGGCAGUUUUCAUCUGUUUGGGCAGUGUUGCCCAAACAUUUCCUUUGGUGUUCCUGCCUGUGAAUUCUACUUCUGAACAAAGGAGUUCUCCCUGUACAAGUCAGUCCUCCAUCUUUUAGAUCAGCACUGGUUCUGGCAACUAAGGUCAUCUGAGCCUUGUCUAGACCUGUGCCUUUAAAAUAAACAAACUCCAAGAAGAAAAUCAAUACCUUAGGUGGAAGAAUUCAUGCAUUUCAGAGCUUCAGGAAGGAACCAUGGCUAUGGGAUAGCUUUAUAACUGUGACCACUGUGGCCCUUGCUGAUUGCUGCAAGCAGACCAGGCAUCCAUUCAGUUCUUCCAGGGGACUGGUGAGUUGGAAGUAGAGAAUGAUUCUUAAUUGUGUUAAUUUUAUGGGCUAAUAACACU